UAAAACAGAGAUUUAUCCUUGAAGAUUUGAAGCUCAGUAUUUUUCGGAAAGGCAGAGGUUUUACUUUACUUGUUAAAACUAUAAAUUUCUAACAGCUUAAAAGUUUUCGUGUCUAACCCUUUUACCUUUCUUGAAAAAUGCAAAUUAAGGCUGUAAGUUGUUACUAUUCCCUAAGCUGCACCCCUUACAUUGCCCUUGGACGCUGCGUCCUUGGUCUUUACUCCACUGGGCUGGGUCACUUUAGUGACAUCUAGUCGCCAGCUCAAUCGACAGGGCAGGGAGCCAUGUGGUCCAAA
Molecule: long non-coding RNA, 296 nt
Filed under: Bos taurus (domestic cattle)
Lineage: Eukaryota; Metazoa; Chordata; Mammalia; Artiodactyla; Bovidae
Description: long non-coding RNA NONBTAT009042
Source: RNAcentral